RNAcentral lists this ribosomal RNA (548 nucleotides) under Branchiostoma japonicum (Japanese lancelet). RNAcentral describes it as "partial 16S ribosomal RNA". It matches the Rfam family "Bacterial large subunit ribosomal RNA", at positions 1829 to 2596 of the family's 2925-position model. The record is from RNAcentral. Lineage: Eukaryota; Metazoa; Chordata; Leptocardii; Amphioxiformes; Branchiostomatidae.
CGCCUUCAGACUCAAUAUUGGAGGUCUGGUCUGCCCAGUGUAAUUAAUUAACGGCCGCGGUAUUCUGACUGUGCAAAGGUAGCAUAAUCACUUGCCCUUUAAAUGGGGGAAUGUAUGAAUGAUUAGACGAGGUUUUUACUGUCUCUUCCUUAUAAAUUGAGAUUACAAUACUUGUGAAAAUGCGGGUAAGUAAUAAAGGACGAGAAGACCCUGUUGAGCUUUUAAGCUAAACUGUAGUACAGGUUAAGUUAAGUAAUAAUUUACAAUUAAAACGAGUAAUUUUUUGUAGGCUUUUUGGCUGGGGUGGCAAGCAAAGAUAUUAAGCUUUGUUGUAGUAUACAUUUUGUAUUUCUAGAUAAUAUGUAUCUAUAAAUAUUAAAUUGAUCCGUUAAAAUAGAACGAUUAAAAGAAUAAGUUACCACAGGGAUAACAGCGUAAUUCUUUUUGAGAGCUCGAAUUGACAAAGGAGUUUGCGACCUCGAUGUUGGAUCAAGAUUCCUAGCGGUGUAGCAGCUGUUACGGGUUUGCCUGUUCGGCGAUUAAUAUCU